CAGGUCUGCAAUUAUUGGGCUUGGACCUUAAAUCGCAUCAUCGGAGCAAGGCCUCAAAUCGCAUCAUAUGAGGUUUGCUCUCAUCUUCUUCACCAAUCGUCCGAUUUCCCAAAGAGAGAAAAUUCUCUGCAAAGCUUUGCCCGCCCUUUACGCCGUCGUCGCUGCCGACCAGCUACGCUACUAUUGCCGCUACAACUAGCUAGGUUGAAAGUAGAGAUUUGUAGACGGAGGUGCCAACAAAUGAACCUCAAAUGAAGGUUCAGAGCUCCCAGUAAAUCAUUCCAUUGAUACUGCUCAUCAACAAGAGGAUGAUGUGCUUCCUGAUCCCAUAAAUGAUGGGUAUAUAAAUUCAUCAUUUCUC
This is a non-coding RNA of Momordica charantia (bitter melon), 361 nucleotides long. The record is from RefSeq and is a predicted model, not a curated record. Lineage: Eukaryota; Viridiplantae; Streptophyta; Magnoliopsida; Cucurbitales; Cucurbitaceae.